UUUCCCUGCAGAGACAGCGACACGGAGGCACCACAGGCGCACACACACACACAGAGGACAGAGACAGAGAGCCAGACAGGUGGAUUAACUGGUGCACGAGCCUCGGAGGCCACACAAUAGCUCACGGACCCCUCUGACCUCUGCACGGGGGCACCUUAACCACAGACAGGAUGGGAAUGUGCACUGUUCCUCAAUGCUGGUCAGUUGGGAAUGGAUCAUGGUGCCAGGAAACUGCAGCCAGCUCAGCCUGAGGCCCUGGCGUAGCUGAGCGAAGCAGUUGAAGGUGGUUGAAAAUGCUAUUAGCAGGCAGCCUUUGUCCAAGUGAAAAAAUAUACGGUGAUUAAGAACUGAGCUGCCGAAGGUACAUUCCGGAGACACCAAAGCUUUGCCUUCAAACAAAGGGCUUUUCACCUUCGAGACAUUUGGCUAAGUUUCAUCCACUAGAAUCUGGGAUCCUUCAAUUUCAUGGACCGCUCAGUGCUGGGUUCACAAACGCCUACACGUUCAAUUCCCACCCUCUACCCUGACGAAUCAUUUCAGCUCUGCAGCCCUCUUGAUGGCUAGAAGCCUGGAAGAAGGUGGUCAUGGAAUCCUUUGUUUCUAACAGGAGAUGCACAAAAGGAAUCGCUCCCUUUUGUUCAGUGCUUCAGGAAAAAAAAAAUCAACAUGCUGCUUGACAUGCUGAGGCUCUGUGCAUCGUACUUCCAGAUCUUAAAUCAACAAAGCAUGCACCACCCGGGUUACCAAGAGCUUUUGCCACUUACUUACCUGGGAGACUGAUGCUAACCUCUUUGGCUGGGAGAAGGGCUGUGGCUCAGAGAGGAGCCCUGGGAGUCAGAUGGCAUGUGGGGGCAGCGGAGCCAAGCACUAGUGGCUCCAGCAGAACCUUUUUCAACACUAGGAAAGUAAAGACACCUGAGCUGCAGCUGAGACUUUUUUCUUGCUGAUUUGCCCAGAUGACCUAAGACCAGCGUUACAGAUCUUAAGUCCACUCUAAAAAUCCAUGCUACCAGGGGGACAGAAAUCAACCGUGGCUGCCUCUAGGAGAGAGGGAUGGAAUUGACUGGAAAGGGGCGUGAAGAACUUUCUAGGGUGAUGGGGUAUAGGUUACAUUGAUACAGACAUUUGUCAAACUCAUUGAACCAUGCAUUUCAGAUCUAUUCAUUUUGCCAUGUGCAAUUAUGCCUCAAAAGAAAAGAAAAACGAUUAAAAAAAAAUUCCAGCUAUCACAUCUCUGCUUUGAAAUUUCCUACCCCUUACUCUUUUUCAAUUGCUGCCCCAGAAAAUAUGCCUUUUGGCUAAAUUCAGAGCUUCCCCUUCCAGGAGAGGGGAAGUCCAGAGUCCUUUGUUAGGGGAACUAGAACUUGCAAUAGAAGGAAUUUGGAACAUGAUUUCUAGGCUCCAUCGAUCCAAACUGAUCACCUUGUGGUGACACACAGGCAUUUUUCAUCCCUGCUAAUGAAAAAUGGUGUUUUGCUGAAGAGGGCUGACCAGGUGACCUCCUCAGGCAGGAAGUGGGAGGCCCCGGAGAUAAGCUGUCCUCUCAAGGAGACGGAAAGUUACCCGUGAAUAGACGAUGCUCGGGUUCAUGAAGGAUGAGCCUAUGUGGACUCAGGCCUGUAGGGGACUUGCUGGGGAGAGCGGCCAGCCCCUGGCUGAGAGCCAGGUGGAAGGGAACGGGCCUGGCCUGGGUUUGUCAGGAGGAGGAGGAGCCAAGGAGCUGCCUAACUUUAGGGGGUGACUUCCCUGGAGGCUGGGGCCCCUGCUGCUCCUUCCCCACUGGGCAAAGCCACAGGAAGGUUUUCCAAAGGGAAUCGUGUAAAGAAUUCUUCGGCCUCUCCUUUCCCAACGAUGUUUAAAACUGGGGAGAGAGUGCCAUUUGCUUGGGGCAGUUUAGAGGGCUGAGAAACUCUGGCAGGGGAUGGUAGGAAAACCCACACUUCAUAUAGAAUAAUUUGAAGACACUUCAACUUUCCUCUUUCAUCAUCACCAAGAUGGGCAGAUGAAAUGGGGACUAGCCAAUGGUUACCCACGGCUAAUCCCACGGCAGAGUUAGGCCGGAGCAGCAUCGGGGGAAGAGAGGCUGCUUCUGGCUUUCUCACGCCUCGGUGGUGGGGGUGGGGCAGAAGGCCUGUGACAAGAUCCAUUCCUGGGGUCUGUAUGACUCCUGGGUCCUUGCCAAGCUUUCUGAUCUCUCUCAGGAGCUGAAGGGCAUUUCAUUUGGUUUUCAAAUAUUCUCUGUAGUUGACUUUUAAAAAACAGGAUACCACAAACAUAAAACAACACCCCCCCCCCAAAUCCAGAGAGAGGUGGAAGUUGAAUUAAUGUGUUUUAAAAAAGCCCAUUGGAUGAAGAAUUACUAUAAGAUAAACAUAUUUAAAAAGUAAGGCACAUGGUUGAAAUAAAAACAAUGGAGUCCUUUGCAACAGCCCAUUGUCUUCUGUGCAGUCAUACAAACCAUCAGGUUUUGUCACGUCAAAGGUGGGUCUGUGGACUCUGCCAGCAGUCGCUGUCUGCAGAGAGCAAUUUCCACAAAAUGUCACUGGGGAGUUCCCGCUGUGGCUCAGCAGAAACGAACCCGACUAGCAUCCAUGAGAAUGCAGGUUCGAUCCCUGGCCCUGCUCAGUGGGUUAAGGAUCUGGAGUUGCCAUAAGCUUUGGCGUAGUUCUCAGACAAGGCUGGGAUCCUGCGUUGCUAUGGCUGUGAUGCAGGCUGGCAGCUGUAGCUCUGAUUUGACCCCUAGCCGGGGAACUUCCAUAUGCUGUGGGUGCCGCCCUAAAAAGACAAAAAAAAAAAAAAAAAAAAAA
This is a non-coding RNA of Sus scrofa (pig), 2807 nucleotides long. The record is from RefSeq and is a predicted model, not a curated record. NCBI's taxonomy places the organism in Eukaryota, Metazoa, Chordata, Mammalia, Artiodactyla, Suidae.